This 497-nucleotide ribosomal RNA is filed under the name uncultured bacterium. RNAcentral describes it as "partial 16S ribosomal RNA". It matches the Rfam family "Bacterial small subunit ribosomal RNA", at positions 28 to 507 of the family's 1533-position model. The record is from RNAcentral.
GAUGAACGCUGGCGGCGUGCCUAAUACAUGCAAGUCGAGCGAACAGACGAGGAUCUUACUCCUCUGACUUUAGCGGCGGACGGGUGAGUAACACGUGGACAACAUACCUAUAAGACUGGGAUAACUUCGGGAAACAGGAGCUAAUACCGGACAAUAUAUUGAACCGCAUGGUUCAAUAGUUAUAGACGCUUUUGCUGUCACUUAUAGACGGACCCGCGCCGCAUUAGCUAGUUGGUAAGGUAACGGCUCACCAAGGCAACGAUGCGUAGCCGACCUGAGAGGGGGAUCGGCCACACUGGACGUGAGACGCGGUCCAGACUCGAACGGGAGGGAGGGGUAGGGAAACUUCCGCAAGGGGCGAGAGGUUAAUCGGGCAAAGCCGCGUGAGGGAUGAGAGUCUUCGGAUCGGAGAACUCUGUUAUUAGGGAAGAAGAAAAGUGUUGGUAACUAUGAAGGUGUUGACGGUACCUAAGGAGAAAGCCACGGCUAACUACGUG